AUGUCGCUGCGGAGGAGCAGAGGAGGACGGCGGGGGAGAGAAGGAGCAAAGGAGGACGACACUCGGGGAAGGAGCAGCGAGGCCGGAGGCCGAGACGGCGCUCGCAUCAUGUGUCGGACGCUGCUCGUCGGCCCUCGGUGCCGUCCUCAAUCUAGCAUGAUGUGUGAAGAUCUGAGACGGAAAAGAAGAGGAAUAAUUUUGACGAAGAGUUGGGUCAUGGGGAACAAGGUCAGCAGAACAUACAUAACUGUUGCUGAAGCCCUCUUGCUAAAGGAGGAUAUAACCAACAUAAACACAAUGCUUACAAGGAGAUAUCGGCUCAUUUGA
RNAcentral lists this ribosomal RNA (327 nucleotides) under Triticum aestivum (bread wheat). RNAcentral's name for it is "partial small subunit ribosomal RNA". The record is from RNAcentral. Lineage: Eukaryota; Viridiplantae; Streptophyta; Magnoliopsida; Poales; Poaceae.